Molecule: long non-coding RNA, 1663 nt
Filed under: Nicotiana benthamiana
Lineage: Eukaryota; Viridiplantae; Streptophyta; Magnoliopsida; Solanales; Solanaceae
Description: long non-coding RNA (NBEN_LNC017918)
Source: RNAcentral
AGAUUAUAUAACGUAUCUGCCUGAAUUUAAUUCAAAAACUAACCAGGCCUUCCGUCUUUGAACAAUAAUAAUAAUAGUAGAGCUCUUUUGUUUUUUUUAUAGUAAACUAAAGAAGUUCAUUUUUAUAAAUUAAAAGUGAUCUUUCUUUUCCAUCAUUUUUUUGGUGAACAAGAAAAGUUCAUUGUUGUGGUGGAGGCACGCUGUUACAACCAAGUAUGGUUAUACUAAAAAGAUGAGGUGUUAGUGUAGUCGUUGGAAAAAGGCUAGUGGAUGCAAAAAGGUUAUUUUUGUGAUUUCCAGUGGUGUUAAAGUAUAGCCUAAAGGAGUUUGUAAUCCUUCCACAUAAAUGUGGUUCUGUUGCCCGUGAAGCCUCUCAAGACCCCUCCAAAUCCUUCAUGAUGCACCAUCGGUAUUUAGCUUGAAAGUCCCCGAUCCGGUGGAUGCCAUUUAAUAUAGAUGGUAUGUGACAAGAUGGGUUGCUCUGAUGGUAAGCAACCCCCACUUCCAACCGAGAGAUUGUGAGUUUGAGUCUUCCCAAGAGCAAGGUGGGAAGUUCUUGGAGGGAAGGAUGUCGGGGGUCUAUUUGGAAACAGCCUCUCUACGCAUGGGUAGGGGUAAGGUUUGCGUACACACUAUCCUCCCCAGAUCCCACUAAGUGAGAUUAUAUUUUGUUGUUGUUGUUGGUAUGUGUAAUUUUGGGUGAUAAUAUUUUAUUGCGUGACUGAUUAUGUGAUUAAUGUUUGGCGUGGCAUGAAUUGAUUCAAACAUUAAUUUAUUACGAGUCUUCCAGACAUGCCAGAGGCAGUAUGGAGUUAUAGCAUUCAUUAUUGAGAGCCUACCAUAAUUCAUCGUCUAAAUAGUAGGUGGUCAACAGUCUCAUCCUGUUGUUGGCAUGAUUAGCAAAUUGGUGAUUGGGUUAUGUGCAACUUUGUUAUCUUUGAAGGGAUUUUGGCAUGACUGAAUUCAUAGAUUUGAUUGAAAAUUCGCUAGUGAUAGUGAGUCCCUAAAUUAAGUUGUCAUUGGACUUUGAAUUGUGUAUUGUUGGGAUGUACAAAUGUUUAUGCUGGAGAGUAUGUCAGCGGGAAGUUCGAAAGUAAUGUUGUUUCUAUUGAUGGUGUUAUUAUAUGUAUAUCCAUACGGUGGAGGUGUGCAUUAUUACUGGAUGCCCAAUCCCCAUAGCCUUUUGGUGUUUGAAUUGUCUCCCAUUUGACAAGGUAUAAUUUUCGCCUUUGAGUCGUGGUAUCCCAUAAGAAAUUACGCUGGUAACGUUCCAAGAGUAUUGUGAUUUAUUUAAAAAUAUUAAUGAACUGCGUGAGAUGAUUUGGGAGAGUGUUUAGUGUGGAUAUAAUCUGCCUCCCAUGGACAGCAUGUUGGUUUUCCAACCGGCUAAUCUACUUUUAAAGUUAUCAGGAAGAAAUUGAAAGUCUACCAUAAUUUGUCUUUUAAGAAAAAUAGAAAAUUCUAGAUAUUUUUUAAAAGUGGUUCCUGCUUUCAUGUUAAAAGAUAUAAGGACAAAGUUUUAUCGGAGGGAGAGGUACUGUAUGAGAAUUAUUUUUUGAUUUGGUGUAGUUGAUAGUUUGUCUUGAGAAGUGGGUGAAUUAGUUUAAAAUAUCAAUGAUGGAGGGGACAUUAUUUCGUGCAAUUUUAGAGAUGAUAAUAAUAU